Long non-coding RNA from Boleophthalmus pectinirostris (great blue-spotted mudskipper), 744 nucleotides. RefSeq lists it as uncharacterized. The record is from RefSeq and is a predicted model, not a curated record. Lineage: Eukaryota; Metazoa; Chordata; Actinopteri; Gobiiformes; Gobiidae. The transcript has 5 exons.
AUGGCCGACUCCCUCGAGCCCGGUGCAGCUCAUCUUCGAGCUGCUGCUGCGCGCGAGGCACCGCGGUGUCGGUGAUCCGAGCUGAGCCGGACGGACCCGGGUCCAGACGAGGCCGCGCCGCGGUAAAACUGCGACACAUGAACACACCGGUAGAGCGGACAUGGCGCUCACGAGAGGCCGCGGUGAACCGAGGAGAGCGCGGAAUGAUACGACAGUGUGCGGGAAACAACGCAGACACCGGCCGCAGCGUCGUAAAACUCCGGGAGAACAGGAGUUUGUGGGGCUCACUAGAGUCAGUGGUUAUCAGAGGUGAAGUUGUCAGUGCAGUCGGCCUACACCAGAUGGUGGACUGAAGAGAGAAGACCAGGUCCAGGUCUUAUCUCACCAUGAGCUGAGCUGGCUCAUCAACACGGAUAUAAAAGUCCACUGUGCACUGGAGUAAAGUAAAGGUGUCACCAGACCAGGUAGACACUGGAGACUGAGGACCUCACCUCUGUAGCUGCCUGCAUUCUUCACUAGAAGCCUCCUGCACACUGGACUGGUCUCCUGGUUUAUACUGAGCACUGAUCAGUUACGAUCAGGUCACAUUUCAGCUCUGUGUCUGAGCUCAACUCACUUCUUCACUGCAUCCACUGCACUUCACAGAUGUUUCAUGAGGUGAACACAGGACUACAGAUCUAGAAGGAGCCUAAAGGACUUGAGUGCAGCUCACACAGAGCUGAAGGAUCCUCAUGUCUCUUCUCU